CCCAUGGCUCAGAUUGAACGCUGGCGGCAGGCCUAACACAUGCAAGUCGAGCGGUAGAGAGAAGCUUGCUUCUCUUGAGAGCGGCGGACGGGUGAGUAAUGCCUAGGAAUCUGCCUGGUAGUGGGGGAUAACGUUCGGAAACGGACGCUAAUACCGCAUACGUCCUACGGGAGAAAGCAGGGGACCUUCGGGCCUUGCGCUAUCAGAUGAGCCUAGGUCGGAUUAGCUAGUUGGUGAGGUAAUGGCUCACCAAGGCGACGAUCCGUAACUGGUCUGAGAGGAUGAUCAGUCACACUGGAACUGAGACACGGUCCAGACUCCUACGGGAGGCAGCAGUGGGGAAUAUUGGACAAUGGGCGAAAGCCUGAUCCAGCCAUGCCGCGUGUGUGAAGAAGGUCUUCGGAUUGUAAAGCACUUUAAGUUGGGAGGAAGGGCAUUAACCUAAUACGUUGGUGUCUUGACGUUACCGACAGAAUAAGCACCGG
Molecule: ribosomal RNA, 485 nt
Filed under: Pseudomonas sp. CL4.55
Lineage: Bacteria; Pseudomonadati; Pseudomonadota; Gammaproteobacteria; Pseudomonadales; Pseudomonadaceae
Description: bacterial SSU rRNA
Rfam family: Bacterial small subunit ribosomal RNA
Source: RNAcentral